RNAcentral lists this ribosomal RNA (933 nucleotides) under bacterium CEV2(2011). RNAcentral's name for it is "bacterial SSU rRNA". It matches the Rfam family "Bacterial small subunit ribosomal RNA", at positions 50 to 976 of the family's 1533-position model. The record is from RNAcentral.
UACACAUGCAAGUCGAGCGGAAACGACGGGAGCUUGCUCCCGGGCGUCGAGCGGCGGACGGGUGAGUAAGGCAUAGGAAUCUGCCCGGUAGUGGGGGAUAACCUGGGGAAACUCAGGCUAAUACCGCAUACGUCCUACGGGAGAAAGCAGGGGACCUUCGGGCCUUGCGCUAUCGGAUGAGCCUAUGUCGGAUUAGCUGGUUGGUGAGGUAAUGGCUCACCAAGGCGACGAUCCGUAGCUGGUCUGAGAGGAUGAUCAGCCACAUCGGGACUGAGACACGGCCCGAACUCCUACGGGAGGCAGCAGUGGGGAAUAUUGGACAAUGGGCGCAAGCCUGAUCCAGCCAUGCCGCGUGUGUGAAGAAGGCCUUCGGGUUGUAAAGCACUUUCAGUGGGGAAGAAGGCCUUUCGGUUAAUAGCCGGGAGGAGCGACAUCACCCACAGAAGAAGCACCGGCUAACUCCGUGCCAGCAGCCGCGGUAAUACGGAGGGUGCGAGCGUUAAUCGGAAUUACUGGGCGUAAAGCGCGCGUAGGCGGCGUGAUAAGCCGGUUGUGAAAGCCCCGGGCUCAACCUGGGAAUGGCAUCCGGAACUGUCAGGCUAGAGUGCAGGAGAGGAAGGUAGAAUUCCCGGUGUAGCGGUGAAAUGCGUAGAGAUCGGGAGGAAUACCAGUGGCGAAGGCGGCCUUCUGGACUGACACUGACGCUGAGGUGCGAAAGCGUGGGUAGCAAACAGGAUUAGAUACCCUGGUAGUCCACGCCGUAAACGAUGUCGACUAGCCGUUGGGGUCCUCGAGACCUUUGUGGCGCAGUUAACGCGAUAAGUCGACCGCCUGGGGAGUACGGCCGCAAGGUUAAAACUCAAAUGAAUUGACGGGGCCCGCACAAGCGGUGGAGCAUGUGGUUUAAUUCGAUGCAACGCGAGAACCUUACCU